GCGGGCGUAGCUCAGUUGGCUAGAGCGUCAGCCUUCCAAGCUGAGGGUCGAGGGUUCGAGUCCCUUCACCCGCUCCA
This 77-nucleotide transfer RNA is filed under the name Sulfurimonas denitrificans. RNAcentral's name for it is "tRNA-Gly". It matches the Rfam family "tRNA". Rfam says of the family: Transfer RNA (tRNA) molecules are approximately 80 nucleotides in length. The record is from RNAcentral. Lineage: Bacteria; Pseudomonadati; Campylobacterota; Epsilonproteobacteria; Campylobacterales; Sulfurimonadaceae. RNAcentral also lists the same sequence under 50 other names.